UGUCCAAAAUGUAACUGACAAUUUUUGCUUUAUAUUCUUCCACACAUUUCUCGAACAAAGUGCUUCAUUGGAAGCUCCGCUACUCUCAGUGUUCUUCCUCCCGGCGAACACUGAUGGGGAGCUCCGACCCUCUCAACGCCCGUCAUCUCCGGUGAAACUCCGGUGCUAGAGCUCCCGGAGAACACUGAUAGGGAGCUCCGCCGUCUCUGCUGAAAAACUUGGUUGAUGAACAGUAACCGGUUUGCUUGUCCAGCUAUCUUUGUUCAUCGGGAGUUCAAUUCAUAUGAAUUAGGUAUUUUCCAUCCAUUUGACCGAUUUUAUUAAAUACUUUCGUCAGCUAGAGGAUUGAAAAUGAGAAAAAUGAAUGAUUGGUUGGAUUUUAACGUGAAUUGUUGGUUGUAAUUGUUAGACUUAUAGAUCUAAUUGGGAAUUACCUUAAUUUUCGCAUGUUUGCACAUGGUGGCACUGUGUAGCCACCAACGACAAUUUUAAUAAGUAAGUUGCAUAGGUUCCAUGGCUUAUGGUGGCUGAGGAAUUGAAUGAUAACAAAUGUAGGAAAUUCUUAGUCUUUACAAUAGCAUGAUUUGAAAAAGAGGAUUCCGGGAGCCAGGGAAAAUGAUGUAUGGAGUCUAUGUGAUGGGUCAUCAGAGUCGGAGAAGAGGUGAAAUCGGUCUGUUAAUCCAUUGUCUGGUGUUCAAAUACAAUUGCCACAUCAAAAUACCACCAAACAUUAUCAAUCCAUCAAGACUUUACAACCAUGGACCUUUAUACAUAAAGCAGUUCUGACAGCUAAUUCUUAUCGAUACGUCUGAUUACAUUCUCAUGGUAAUUGAGGGAAAACGUCCAGUCGCGCAGUUUAUGCAGACCAGGAGAUUUGUUAUGGACCAGGAUUAAAAAGUUGACCUAUCAAGGCCAUAUCAGUGAUGUGUUAUAUUCAGUGGCAACUUUUGUGCAACUGGUUACAGCGGCUAGGAAUUUAGGGGACAAAGCUUUUUUCUUGGGUGUAAUGCUUCUCCAAGCUUCUCAACUUCCGGGAAUCAAGCCCGAUCACAUUUAUAUUACAGAUGAUUGUUUAGGUGCAUACCUGUAAAGAAGUGGCGGCUUGAACAUGGGGGUGUUCAACUUAGCAGAUGGCAGUAUACAGCCACAUUAUAUGGUGUUUCCUCAGCUGCGUCUGUCCUCCAUUUGGGUCACACCAAAUCCUUGUUAAGCAUCCUUUGAUCCAUCAAAUCUAGUUACAUCUGUUGAUGUCCAUAACAUUUUUGAGAACCGUUCCUAGAAGCUGAUGCAUCUGAAGGAAGCCGAUGUACUAAAGCUCUCGCUAUGUACGGGGUUCAGGGAAGGGCGGAACCACAAGGGUUAGAAGCACAAACCUAUGACUCAAGUUAUCAUGGAUAUACAAGAAUGUAGCAUAAUUUGCAGCUACACAUCUAGCAUUGUAAAUGACUGAUUGCUCGGAGCUUCCACAGGAUUUGUUGAGAUUGAUAGGUCAUUGUCUUAUUACAUAUACCAAGUCCAGUUCACAUGUGUUUGAACUUCAUGGAGGAAUUUUGGAUUUGUGGUGGAUUUUUGAUAUUCUGGAUGGGAACGAUGCGUAAGAGGAAGGUGAGCUUGUUUGAUGUGUGGAUGACUCGUCGGCGUCAACAAAGAAAGCCAAUAGAAGCUUAAAUGGUGUAAACACAACAAGUGAUACGAAAUGCCUUACAGAGAUUCGAUGAAAUUUUGGGGAAGAGGAAGACUCUUCCCAUGUGGCAUCAAAAAGAGUAAUUCUCUAUCACCGGUUGUCAUCACCAGGUCUCCUAAAACCGAGGAACUGGUAGUGUCCCUUAAUGACCAUGAGGACAUAGUCAAGAUGUAUGAGAAGAGGAUUAGCUGAUAGACGUUCAUGGUUCUGAAGUCUUGUUGGGUCUAUAAUGUUUGGUGUUAUUCUGAUGUGGCAACUGGAUUUGAACACCGGAGAAUGGAUGCAACAGACUGAUUUCACCCUCUUCUCCAUCUAUGAUGAGCCAUUCCAUAGAUUCCAUACAUCGUUUUCCACUGGCUCCCGGAAUACUCUUCUUCAUAAUCAUGCCAUUGUACAGACUGAAGAAUUUUCUACAUGUUUUAUCAUUCUCGUCCUCAGCUAGCAUUAGCCAUGAAACCCUUGCCAAAUUACUAUUAAAAUUAUCCUUGGUGGCCACAGAGUGCCACAAUCUGCAAACAGUGCGGAAAUUAAGGUAAUCCUCAAUCAGCUUUAUACGUCUUACAAUUACAACCAACAGUUCACGGUUAAGCUCCGACCAAUCAGCCAUUAUUCUCAUUUUCAAGCCCUAGCUACCGAAAGGAUAUAAUAAUAUUGGGGCAAAUGGUCGAGUAUCAAGCAAUUCUCAGAAAUUUUUCUUUUGCCAUUUUAUACUAGAUUGUUGAGAAAAUGAUUUUUAAUGUAUGGAGGGAUUCUGGCCUAAAUUAUCCCUUUUGGUGGUAGGCUUUACUUUGUCUUUUUCUCUCUAAUGCCAUCAUGAGUACUAUUUGUCCUUUGUUCAAAUUAUCAACUAUGUUGGUUUCUUUAUCUAUGCCUUCCUAUUGAACAAUUUAGAUUCUUAA
Molecule: long non-coding RNA, 2583 nt
Organism: Solanum lycopersicum (tomato)
Lineage: Eukaryota; Viridiplantae; Streptophyta; Magnoliopsida; Solanales; Solanaceae
Source: RefSeq, a predicted model, not a curated record